RNAcentral lists this ribosomal RNA (640 nucleotides) under uncultured marine eukaryote. Its description in RNAcentral is "SSU rRNA". It matches the Rfam family "Eukaryotic small subunit ribosomal RNA", at positions 615 to 1262 of the family's 1831-position model. The record is from RNAcentral.
GCAGUUAAAAAGCUCGUAGUUGGAUUUUCUGUUCUUGGGGGAGCGGUCCGCCGCAAGGUGAGCACUGCUGCUCUGGGGACAUCCUCUCGAAGGCGGGUGGUGCACUUAAUUGUGUGCUGCUUGGAUUCGGGACCUUUACUUUGAAAAAAUUAGAGUGUUCAAAGCAGGCAUCGGCUUGAAUACAUUAGCAUGGAAUAAUGGAAUAGGACUUUGGUUCUAUUUUGUUGGUUUCUAGGACCGAAGUAAUGAUUAAUAGGGACAGUUGGGGGCAUUAGUAUUUAAUUGUCAGAGGUGAAAUUCUUGGAUUUAUGAAAGACUAACUACUGCGAAAGCAUUUGCCAAGGAUGUUUUCAUUAAUCAAGAACGAAAGUUAGGGGAUCGAAGACGAUCAGAUACCGUCGUAGUCUUGACCAUAAACUAUGCCGACUCGGGAUCGGUGGGGUGAUUUUAGCCGCAUCGGCACCGUAUGAGAAAUCAAAGUUUUUGGGUUCUGGGGGGAGUAUGGUCGCAAGGCUGAAACUUAAAGGAAUUGACGGAAGGGCACCACCAGGAGUGGAGCCUGCGGCUUAAUUUGACUCAACACGGGGAAAACUCACCAGGUCCAGACAUAGUAAGGAUUGACAGAUUGAGAGCUCUUUCU